UUUUUUUUCCCCAAGGUUUCGAAAUAAUUUCUCCCCCUCACCCUCUCUCGUUUGUUCUCUGCCUUCGCCUCUCUCUCUCAUCACCCCCUCCUCUCCGCUCAUCCCUUCAGCUACCUCUUCCUACUCCCUUUCUCUCUCGGAUUCCGAAGAUUCAUGGUGGUAGAAUUGAUUCUAUGUGUUCACAGAUGCUCACUCGAUGCCGAUCGGAGGGGUUUGGGGCUUCUCUUGGGACUUUCUGAAUUAGGGUUUCUUGCUUGCUGCCGAGGAAAAGGCCGAGACUUGUGAAGAUAGAGAGCUUGCUAUUGACCAACGACCACCAGAGUAAGAUCUCUUCCGUUGGGCAGUCCGCAGACCAGUUCUUAUAGGUCUCCGGGAUUGAAAUUCUCUAAGCUAGUUUUUGAGGUAAAAUUCUGAUGGAAAGCUUAGGCUUGUUCUACUCUGUGCCCAUAUUUUGCUGUCAUUGCAUUGUCUUUGCCUCUUUAGUUACAUGUGAAGAAACUUGCAGUGUGUGUAUAAGUACAUGAAUAUAUCUAGUGUGAGAACAUCAGUUUUUGCCCUGCAGUAGGCGAGAAUUGGAAGCGAAGCCCUCUUCGCUGUGAUUCUAGAUCCAGUGACUUGUUUUUUCAUGGCAAGGUACUCGCAAAAGCAAGUGCUUAGAGUUGUUCGUGGCUCCAGCUUGGUUCUUGUAAAUUGGAUUACCAGCGGAUGAGAAGUAUGUGAUUUCGAUCUUUACAAGAGCGCUGACAACAGAGUCUUACCAUAUGGACAUCCUUUGUUUCUUGAUAGGUCACAAGUGCUGUUGGCAGCUUUCUUUCCAUGACAAGCUAAGCUCUCGGUGGAAGUAGGUCAGAAUAUAGUGGCGAAAGGCUUUUGUAACCAAAAAAUUAUGGUUCCCAAUGGUCGUUGCAAAGCCGUCAGAAGAGGUUGCUAGCGACCAAAUUUCAUUUUGGUCGCAAAAUGUGCUUCUUUCUGCGACUAAGAGACUUUAGUCACUAAUAGAAACCUUCGGCGACUAAUACAUUUGUUGCUACUACUAGUACAAAACAGUCGCCACUAAAUGGAAUUGGUUGCAAAUUCCCCAUUUUUGUGCAAAUAUUUGGAACCAAAUAUCAGUUAUUGCGACUAAAAUAUUAGUUGCAAAAUGCAUGAAUCUGCAACUAGAGUAUUUCUUUAUAUUAAAUGUCUGUUUGUAUCGAGAAUUGCAACAAAAGUUCUGUUAGUCGCAAAAAUGUACUUCAGCGACCAGGUGCUUGAUCACUAAAGCUCUUAUUUCUGAAUAUAUUGCGACCACUUGUCUGGUUGUUACUUGU
This is a non-coding RNA of Punica granatum (pomegranate), 1310 nucleotides long. NCBI's taxonomy places the organism in Eukaryota, Viridiplantae, Streptophyta, Magnoliopsida, Myrtales, Lythraceae. The record is from RefSeq and is a predicted model, not a curated record.